RNAcentral lists this small RNA (979 nucleotides) under uncultured Conocybe. RNAcentral's name for it is "eukaryotic LSU rRNA". The stretch from base 693 to 979 matches the Rfam family "Eukaryotic large subunit ribosomal RNA", at positions 1 to 281 of the family's 3401-position model. Lineage: Eukaryota; Fungi; Basidiomycota; Agaricomycetes; Agaricales; Bolbitiaceae. The record is from RNAcentral.
CUUGGUCAUUUAGAGGAAGUAAAAGUCGUAACAAGGUUUCCGUAGGUGAACCUGCGGAAGGAUCAUUACAGAGUAAACUUGGUGGGUUGUUGCUGGCUCUCAAUUGAGCAUGUGCACGCCUGUCAUCUUUAUCUUUCCACCAUGUGCACUUUUUGUAGGUCUGGAUUGGACAAUAAGCCUAGCCCCUUGUGGGUUAUUGGAAAGUUGCUGAUUACAUCGGCUCUUUCUGUUACUGGCUGUUUCUUCCUAGGCUCUACGAUUUAUCUAUAUACACCAUGUAUGUCAAUGAACGCAAUCAAUGGGCCUUUAAAAGCCUAUAAACAUAUAAUACAACUUUCAGCAGCGGAUCUCUUGGCUCUCGCAUCGAUGAAGAACGCAGCGAAAUGCGAUAAGUAAUGUGAAUUGCAGAAUUCAGUGAAUCAUCGAAUCUUUGAACGCACUUUGCGCUCCUUGGUAUUCCGAGGAGCAUGCCUGUUUGAGUGUCAUUAAAUUCUCAAUCUCUACAACUUUGUGUUGUCUAGAUCGGAAGUGGGGGUUUGUUGUGUGGAAUCUAAUUCCUCACUCCCCUUAAAUGCAUUAGCUGGAAUGCCUCUGCAUAUCUGACUAUCAGUGUGAUAAUUAUCUAUGCUGUAGUUGUUGCAUGAGGGUAUCUGCUUCAUAAAUCGUCGCAAGACAAUUCUAUAUGACCAUCUUGACCUCAAAUCAGGUAGGACUACCCGCUGAACUUAAGCAUAUCAAUAAGCGGAGGAAAAGAAACUAACAAGGAUUCCCCUAGUAACUGCGAGUGAAGCGGGAAAAGCUCAAAUUUAAAAUCUGGCGGUCUUUGGUCGUCCGAGUUGUAAUCUAGAGAAGUGUUAUCCGCGUUGGACCGUGUACAAGUCUCCUGGAAUGGAGCAUCAUAGAGGGUGAGAAUCCCGUCUUUGACACGGACUACCAGUGCUUUGUGAUGCGCUCUCAAAGAGUCGAGUUGUUUGGGAAU